UCUCAUGUGGUCUAAUGGUUACGAUGCCUGCCUUUCCUCUCACGUGAAAGAGCAGUGCAGGAGAAUGGGGUUCGAUUCCUCACAUGAGCG
Mycena rebaudengoi is the source of this 90-nucleotide non-coding RNA. NCBI's taxonomy places the organism in Eukaryota, Fungi, Basidiomycota, Agaricomycetes, Agaricales, Mycenaceae. The record is from the annotation of a GenBank genome assembly.